CCUGGGGCGGUGGCGGCAGGCGCGGCGCGCGGGGCCCUGGGCAGCUAUCGGUGCCCGCAGGGCCGCGCCCUGCUGCCGGCCUUGGCGCGCGUAUGUUAGGACGGGCGCAUCCUCGGAGGGAGGCGGCCGGCACCCCGCAGGCACGACAGCCCAGAGAAUUCCAAAGUCCCAAAUUCCAAAUGACCAAUGAUCUGGACAUUGACUACGCCAAGAUGUCAGAGGUCUCACUCCUGACCCCACCCCCUGCUCAGCAUGGUGACCCAGGACACUGCCAGUUAAAGGAACUGUACUCCCUGCCUCGGUCUUGAUGAGAGUCAAGCCUUUCUUUGACUUCCAGAGUCAGCUGUCUAGUUGAAGCUGAGCUGGUUAAGACUGCAUGGGACCCCGACCCUUCAACGGGACCUGCUCCAGUGUCCGCUCAGUGACCUUUUGAAUCUGCAGAGGCGGGCAGCUUAGUUAUGGCUGCACAGAGCUGCGAUUAUCACACCUUUUCCCAAUCACCUUUCCCCACGCUGUAUUCUUUAGCCCCUAAAUACCCCGAGGCCAGCUUUCGGGAGGCGGAUUUGAGAUUUGGUCUGCAAUCUUCACGCUUGGCUGCCUGACAAAAUAAACGAAUAAACAGUCUCUUAGGGCUUUCCUGGUGGCGCAGUGGUUGAGAGUCCGCCUGCCGGUGCAGGGGACACGGGUUCGUGCCCCGGUCCGGGAAGAUCCCACAUGCCGCGGAGCGGCUGGGCCUGUGAGCCAUGGCCGCUGAGCCUGCGCGUCCGGAGCCUGUGCUCCGCAACAGGAGAGGCCACAGCAGUGAGAGGCCCGCGUACAGCAAAAAAAAAAAAAAAAAAAA
Long non-coding RNA from Globicephala melas (long-finned pilot whale), 841 nucleotides. RefSeq lists it as uncharacterized. The record is from RefSeq and is a predicted model, not a curated record. Lineage: Eukaryota; Metazoa; Chordata; Mammalia; Artiodactyla; Delphinidae.